CUGGCGGCGUGCAUAACACAUGCAAGUCGAACGAUGAACCUUAAUUGAUUUCUUCGGAAUGAAAAUAAGUGGAUUAGUGGCGAACGGGUGAGUAACACGUGAGUAACCUGCCUUACACAAGGGGAUAGCCUUUGGAAACGAAGAAUAAUACCCUAUAAAGUCAAAAUAUCGCAUGAUAUAGUGACCAAAGAUUUAUCGGUGUAAGAUGGACUUGCGUCUGAUUAGCUAGUUGGUGAGAUAAAAGCCCACCAAGGCGACGAUCAGUAGCCGGCUUGAGAGAGUGUACGGCCACAUUGGGACUGAGACACGGCCCAAACUCCUACGGGAGGCAGCAGUGGGGAAUUUUGCACAAUGGGGGAAACCCUGAUGCAGCGACGCCGCGUGAUUUAGAAGGCCUUCGGGUUGUAAAAAUCUUUUUUAUGGGAUGAAAAUGACAGUACCAUAAGAAUAAGGUCCGGCUAAAUACGUGCCAGCAGCCGCGGUAAUACGUAUGGACCGAGCGUUGUCCGGAAUCAUUGGGCGUAAAGGGUACGUAGGCGGCCUAGUAAGUUAGAAGUGAAAUAAUAUAGCUCAACUAUAUAAAGCUUUUAAAACUGGUUAGGCUUGAGAGAUGAAAGGGAAAGUGGAAUUCCUAGUGUAACGGUGAAAUGCGCAAAAUAUUAAGAAAGAAUACCCGGGUGGCGAAAGGCGACUUUCUGGGUCAUCAUCCUGACGCUGAGGUACAAAAGCGUGGGUAAGCAAACAGGAAUUUAGAUACCCUGGUAGUCCACGCUGUAACUGAUGAGUGUUAGGUUCUUGGAAUAAUCUGGGAGCCGCAGCUAACGCAUUAAACACUCCGCCUGGGGAGUACGCACGCAAGUGGUGAAACUCAAAGGAAUUGACGGGGACCCGCACAAGCAGCGGAGCAUGUGGUUUAAUUCGACGCAACGCGAAGAACCUUACCAAGUCUUGACAUAAUACGGAGGGAAUUAGAGAUAGUUUCUUAAGACUUCGGUCUACUGUAUUACAGGUGGUGCAUGGUUGUCGUCAGCUCGUGUCGUGAGAUGUUGGGUUAAGUCCCAUAACGAGCGCAACCCCUAUCGUUAGUUACCAUCAUUAAGUUGGGGACUCUAGCGAUACUGCCGGUGAUAAACCGGAGGAAGGUGGGGACGACGUCAAAUCAUCAUGCCCUUUAUGACUUGGGCUACACACGUGCUACAAUGGCAGAUACAGAGGGCAGCGAAAGAGCGAUCUGAAGCGAAACUCACAAAGUCUGUCCCAGUUCGGAUUGUACUCUGCAACUCGAGUACAUGAAGUUGGAGUUGCUAGUAAUCGCGAAUCAGAAUGUCGCGGUGAAUGCGUUCCCGGGUCUUGUACACACCGCCCGUCACACCAUGGGAGUUGGCAAUACCCGAAGCCUGUGAGCGAACCUUUUAGAACGCAGCAGUCGAAGGUAGGGUCAGUAACUGGGGUGAAGU
RNAcentral lists this ribosomal RNA (1457 nucleotides) under uncultured organism. RNAcentral describes it as "16S ribosomal RNA". It matches the Rfam family "Bacterial small subunit ribosomal RNA". The record is from RNAcentral.